UGAAUACGAGAUGCUACGGCAUUGAAGUAGUGUAUGUCAGACUUCCAAGAAAAGCUCGCAAUGUCAUAAAUAAAUAAUGCCUGUACCAUAACCGACACAGGUGGGUAGGUAGAGUAUACUAAGGGGCGCGAGAUAACUCUCUCUAAGGAACUCGGCAAAAUGACUCCGUAACUUCGGGAGAAGGAGUGCCUCAUUUAUGAGGUUGCAAUAACAAGAUCCAAGCAACUGUUUACCAAAAACACAGGUCUCCGCUAAGUCGUAAGACGAUGUAUGGGGGCUGACGCCUGCCCAGUGCCAGAAGGUUAAAGAAGUUGGUUAGCAUCCGCGAAGCUGAUAACUGAAGCCCUGGUGAACGGCGGCCGUAACUAUAACGGUCCUAAGGUAGCGAAAUUCCUUGUCGGGUAAGUUCCGACCCGCACGAAAGGCGUAAUGAUUUGGAUUCUGUCUCAGAGAGGGACUCGGUGAAAUAGACUUGUCUGUGAAGAUGCGGACUACCUGCACCAGGACAGAAAGACCCUAUGAAGCUUUACUGUAACUUGAAAUUGAAAUUGGACUUUAGUUGCGCAGUAUAGGUGGGAGGCGUUGAGUUUAUUCUUGCGGGAAUUUAGGAGCCAUCAGUGAGAUACCACUCUGCUAAUGUUAGAUUUCUAACUUUGCAUCAUAAUCUGGUCAAAGAACAGUUUCAGGCGGGCAGUUUGACUGGGGCGGUCGCCUCCUAAAUGGUAACGGAGGCGUACAAAGGUUUCCUCUGAACGUGUAGAAAUCGUAUCUAGAGUAUAAAGGCAUAAGGAAGCUUGACUGUGAGACUUACAAGUCGAGCAGGGACGAAAGUCGGUCUUAGUGAUCUGACGGUGCUGAGUGGAAAGGCCGUCACUCAACGGAUAAAAGUUACUCUAGGAUAACAGGCUGAUCUCCCCCAAGAGUUCACAUCGACGGGGAGGUUUGGCACCUUGAUGUCGGCUCAUCGCAUCCUGGGGCGGUAGUACGUCCCAAGGGUUGGGCUGUUCGCCCAUGAAAGCGGUACGCGAGCUGGGUUCAGAACGUCGUGAGACAGUUCGGUCCAUAUCCGGUGUAGGCGUUAGAAUAUUGAGAGGAGCCUUCUUUAGUACGAGAGGACCGAGAAGGACAUACCUCUGGUGUACCAGUUAUCGUGCCAACGGUAAACGCUGGGUAGCUAUGUAUGGAGUGGAUAACCGCUGAAAGCAUCUAAGUGGGAAGCCCACCUCAAGAUAAG
RNAcentral lists this ribosomal RNA (1234 nucleotides) under metagenome. Its description in RNAcentral is "bacterial LSU rRNA". It matches the Rfam family "Bacterial large subunit ribosomal RNA", at positions 1564 to 2808 of the family's 2925-position model. The record is from RNAcentral.